This 22-nucleotide microRNA is filed under the name Caenorhabditis elegans. RNAcentral's name for it is "cel-miR-41-3p". Its record names the gene cel-miR-41-3p. Lineage: Eukaryota; Metazoa; Nematoda; Chromadorea; Rhabditida; Rhabditidae. The record is from miRBase by way of RNAcentral.
UCACCGGGUGAAAAAUCACCUA